GAGCAGGAGAUUAAGGAGUACAGGGACCAUUUGGUUGCACAGAUGAAUCUUUGAAGUUUUAUCUACUCAUCAAUGACUUCAAGGCCCAUUACCUGCUGCCAUUUGUAAACUGGCCGGGGCUGAACAUGAAUGCUGGGUCCUCAAUUCAUAGAAGGGGUGAGACCCAGCCAAGGGAGGGUCCUGCCCGUGCCCAGCAUUCGUCUCGGGUGGGAUCUACCAUUACUGGAUGCUCAAACUUAAGAGACGACAACCAGAAGAGCCACCUUUCCAGGGCUGGGACUGACAGUCCGGAGGAAGAAAUAAUGGAGUCUAAGACAGGGUAAGUGUGAACCAGGAAAGAGAAACUUGAAGUAACUUAAAACAAUCUGUUAUAUUUUAUUGUAUCAUUAUUAGCAAAUGGAGCCAUUCACACAGUUCCAGGGACACAUUCUUUGGGAAUGUUACAGAACAACUGAAAUAUUUCUCAGUGGGAAAAGUUACAUCAUAGGAGCAACACAUAAUAUAUAUUAAUAAGAAUCAUUACUGCCAGCAGCCUUUACUAAAUAUAUUGUGGUACUUUGAAGUAAUUGUGAAAAUGAAUCAUUUUCAUUUUAAAAUGAAUAAAUUGUUAACAUCAACAAAAACAGCAAGGUGUGGAGAAGAAUGUGUUAGUGCAAAUCCAGUAAUGGAAGUUUUAUGAAAGCAAAUGCAUGGGUCCAAAGAGAGGCCCUGUUUUUUUUAAUCUGGAAGGACACAGGGCAGCCUUUGAGCAGGGGUCACCUUCAGAAUCUGCUCAAUGACUCUCUGAGCCUUCUUUGCUACAUCUGUGCUGGGUCUAUUGCCCCAUAUCCCGGGCUGUGGGCACCGUGUGAGGAGGCAGCCCUCUGCCACCUAAAGAGCCCAUGGGAAGCGAAGUCAGUGGGGACCACUGCCCAGUGCAUUGUGGAGAUGAGUGAGCAUCUUGGGAAGCAGGCCCCACUCAGCCUCCCGCUCUCUGCUUGCAUGAUCUGUGGCGAGCUGGCUCUUGCUGCUGAGCUGAAGUCUCUGCACAGAUUCUCAAAUGUGCAGAUGCUGCUGCAGCCCCCAGGUCGGGGCCUGUGAGCAGCUGGAGCUGCCCCAUGAGAUCUGAGAGCUGCCUCCCAUGAUCCUGAGCUGUGGCUGUCCUUGGAUGCCUCCAGGCUCCUGGCUGCUGCUUACACUGGCUCUGGCUGGGCUCUUGGGCAGCAGUGGCACCUCAGGAGUACUGCCACCUCCCAGGCUCUGUGUGCUCCAUGGCUGUGGGGUCACCUUCUGGGAGACUUUGCACCCUGGAUAAACUUGUAAAAACCAGUUUGUUAAGUGGGUAACUAAUUUGCCGUAGACUGAUUUUUAAAAUUUCUAUUCCCAUGGCUUUGCAGAGAAAUUUCGGCGGCAGCAGAACAUUGUACAAGUAUUAGAUUUGCAACCUGAGCCUGACUCCUGCACUCUCCUGCUUUAACCUGAUCUCCCCUGGAAUCCCUCUGCAGUGCGUCCCAACUGCACUUCUCCAUGUGCAGCUUUGGUCUUCUCUGUUACUCAUUAGAGUUGGCCCCACAUCUGCCUUUGAAGGCUCUGACAGCUGGUCUUUUGUGGAGUGGAGGCCUGGCCCUCCAGACCUAGCCCUGGGGUAACCAGAAGAGUGGAAGUGAUACUCCUUACACAGCUGGGUUUGUGAUCUGGGACUCAUACCCAUAUUCUUGCUUGUCUUUUAACUGAAGUCACACUGGACACUGAGAUAGUAAGCAUUUCUGGCAGAGAUGUAAUAGUUAGCUUUCUGUUACUGUGAAUCAGGACAAUACCCAAAAUCAGCUUAUAAGUUUCAAGGGUUUUAGUUCAUGGCAGGCAGGUCUUGUUGAGCUAGGUCUGUGGCAAGGAAGAAUAUCAUAGAGGAGGAGAGCACAUGGUGACCCAGAAGCAGAGAGAGAGAGAGAGGAAGAGACCAGAGUCCCACAAAUCCCUUCCAGCUCACACUCAGUGAUGUAUUUCCUCCUAUGAGGCCUCACUGUUUAAAGGGUUUGUUAUCUUGCAACUGUGCCAUAGAUGGGGGGCAAAACUUAAUGCACAGAUUUUUGAGAGGUGCUUCUUCAGACAAUAUCAAGAUGUAACUGUUUAUUUUUACUUUUUCUUUUUUCCAAGACCUAACUUUUAAAAAUUUAUUUGCCUGUUAAAUUUUAGAUUCUGCAGCUUUGUUGAGAACUGUCUCAUUGUCUGCACAUAGAAUUAUAAAAUUUGUAACCACUCAGCACCCAUAGGUUACGAUCUUGAGUUACGGGGGGCAAUCUGUUAUCUUAACACUCAUUUUUCCUGAGUGCAUCACUAACCUCCACCUCCCUCUACCUUUGGCCAUCACAGGUAAUUUCCAAUGGCAGACUAAUCCCGCAUGUUUUCAUUCCCGCUUUGGAAUAUGUGAUACUUGUUUAUUACUGCAUUUCCCCUUAGUAGGCUUCACCUAGUUUUGUAUUCGAGCCUUGAGAAUAUGACUUCUUUUUUUCUCACCUUUUCACGGGGUUGGCUGCCAACAGCUGUGGAAUGAGACACCUGCAGGAAUAGUUCUGGGGGUGUCUGUACUGGCGGGCGUAGGGGGCUGGGGAAGCAGGAAGCUCUUCCCAGGUCAGAGACGGGGCAGCAGGUGGCAAAACUGGCCCCCAGCAACUUGGGGGCUCCUCAUCCUUGCCCUCAGUGCCCCUGAAGCCCUGGCUUUGCAUGGACACAGUGGCCUUUGACAGGCCAGCUUUGUUCUGGUUCAGCAUUGCUGCUUUGCUGUUGGCCACACGCUGGCCUCGCCCACCCCCAGUGGUCAGCAGCAAGGGCGUCAGCUCCUUGGCGACCCUGUCACCAGUGCUGUCACCAGGGAAGGCAGGACCUCUGGACUGGCUCCCUCGCCCUGCUGGCACCUGUCCUAGUUCCCUGGCAUGUAGGACCCUGUUGUGUCUCUUCCUGGGAUAACCUGGGAGGCCAGCCAGCUGGUCACACAGGGAAGCAGAAGGAGACAGGUGGAGGCAGGAACUGCAGCAAGCAGGGAGGCUUCCCGGAGGAGGCGGCAUCACCAAUGGGCUUACUGAAUGGACCGGAUUUGGCAGCUUGUGAGCUGGCAGGGGAAGCCAGGGAGGAGGCUAGCAGGUGGGUGUGGGGAGGCCCAGCACGGGCAGGGUCAGCGGAGUGCGGUGCAGCCCAGGAGGAGCCCAGCCAGUAGGAGGUUUAGAGGCCAAAUCCAGACGUUUUCUUUGAUGCAGGACUGGGUGAACCUGGGCUUUGGCCGCUUCAGCUAAAUAAAACCGUCACUGUGAUUUUAAAACCCCAGUGGCCCUUGUUCCACUGCAAUGGCAACUAAUUAUGGGUUGUAACUGUCUCAGCACAGGGAGCUGUGUUGCACCAGAGCAGCAGCCUUGUGACAGGGCUCCUCUGGUGUCCCCAGCACUCUGCCCCAAGCCACGUGCCUGGUGGGGACACAGGGCACAGAGGGGCGUGCACCAGGCCGGGGCACUCCUGGGACUCUCUGGCAUGUAGAUGGACAUUCUGAGUCAUUGUGGACAGGUCACGUAGUCUUCUGAGCCCCAGCUUCCCCGUGGGUGACGUGGGGACAGGCAGUCCCCACCCCAUGGGGCGAGAGGACAGGCGAAGCCGUGCAGCUGUGUGGGGCGGACACGACACGUAGCAGGCUCAGGAGGCAAGGCCCCUCCCCUGCCCACCCCAGCCCCGUGUGACUGCACCGAGGUCACGUCCACAGCUGACCCAGUGACCUCGUGUUCCGGCCCCCUGGGAGGCUGAGGCAGGAGGAUUGUAAGUUGGAGCCCAGCCUGGAUGAUUCUACAACACUCUGUCUGUAAGUAAACAAAUAAAAAGAACUCAGGGUAUGGCUCAGCAUGAAGGUCCUGGGUGCAGUCCUAGGAAUCCAAAGAAACAUCAGAGAGAGACAGAGACAGAGAGAGAGAGAGAGAGAGAAAGAGAGAGAGAGAGAGAGAGAGACAGAGAGAGGCAGAGAGAGAGAGAGACAGAGAGAGAGAGAGACAGAGAGAGAGAGAGACAGAGAGAGGCAGAGAGAGACAGAGACAGAGAGACAGAGAGAGAGGCAGAGAGAGACAGAGACAGAGAGACAGAGAGAGAGGCAGAGAGAGAGACAGACAGACACAAAGACAGAGACAGAGACAGAGAAAUAAAAUCAGAGAGACAGAGAGAGACCAAUCACGUCCAGGUAGUGGCCUCAGUGGCCAUGCCCUCUGCUCCCUCAGUGACGUCUGUGGCCAUGCCCUCUGCUCCUGCAGAGAAAUCUGAUGGCCUGCAGUUCCAGGGUCACCGAGAGAUCCAGGUGUGUCCUGGUCACUGUGCCUGACUGACCACAUAGAGAUGCGAAUGCUGACCCCUCCAGCCAGGCUUGGUUUCUGUGCCAGCUUGGUUCCCUGGGGCUCAUGGAUGGUGUGGGUUCCCUCUGUCCCUCUUCCCGUGGCCCUGGAGGAGCAGCUGUGGCCGCCCUGUGCCCCAGCCUCACUGCCUGAGGCCUCGUCAAUAUUUCAUAGUAUCUGAGUGCAGGCGCUUGAUUUAUGGCCCAGAGGCUUCAGGGACAUGCCUAUCUGUGGUAGCAGACUGGGGCCAGGACUCCAGCUCUGCUUCAGAGCCCCUCCAGGGCCCUGCUGGAGGUGUCCUGUACUUGGAAUUUGUCUCCAGCCCCUUUUUUACUGGAUCCUACAGUUAAAAAACCAUACAUAGCAUUCCUGGUAACUAGGAAGUUGCUGGUAACCUUUCCAUGAAAUUGAGACAUUUGUUCUUUAUUUUUUUGUUUUUGCAUCUUUCCUCUUUAUCUGCCUGGAAUACAGAUGUGAUGGUUGGAGCUCCAGCAUCUAUUAUGGGCCUACAUAGGCCCAUAGUAGGUAUCUUGAGCAGAGGUAUAGCAAAAGUCAAGGCCCUGUAGACUUUGUGGAAACCAUCCUUCCAGCCCCCGGGCUGCUCACUUUUAGAUUUGACAUCUGAAAGAGAUAAAAAAAACUUUCAUUUGUUUUCCCUAUCAUAGCUGGAUUCCUGUAGCUGUUGGUCAAAUUAAAUCCCAACCAAAAUUCUCUGCUGCUCUUAGCAUAGCUGGUGGUCUCAGCCUCCCUCACUGGCCUGGGUGCUUUUGUGCCUCCUCACCCUGCACCCUUAGCAACCAAGGGCACCCUGCGCUCAUCACUGCCAGAAGCACUGAGUGACUAUUUCUGAAUGAAUGAAUUCAUCCCCAUGAGGCCUCGGUGUCAGCAGGGCCCUGUGAGGAGGGUGAACCCAGCAGUGGCUCUGUCACAGCUGUGAGAAGCACCUGUAGCUUCUGGAACAAGGACCUUUGUCUCCCAGCAACUCGAUGCCUCAAUAGUAUCAUUUUAUAAUAGAACUUAAAAUUGGUGAGGAGCAAAGACACUGAAAAAGAAACCAGCAUUCUCCUUUGAGUCUUGGUUCCGCACUGGCGCUUUUUUUUCUGGACAGCGAGGCUCCUGUGAGCAUUUGCAGCCUGCCCCAGCCCAGAUCUUAGCUCGAGCUCCCCUUUUAUUAAAGGCUGGACUGAACUACCAUUUCUCCACACAGACGCACAGCUGGCCUGCUCUGCCCCCAGCUGGGCUUUGAGUUCGAAUGCUGCUCUGUGGAGCCGCUUGGUGCCUACAGCUUUCUCUGUGUGUGCGAUUUUGCCCUUUGCUUGAGUCUCAGAAGUAGGGUUAUUUGAUCAAAGGAGCUAAAGAGGAGUCAGUGUGGGGUGAGGGGACCUGAGAGGGGAAGGGAGCCCCAGUCACGCUACUUUUCUCUACCCUUAGUUCCCCCAGGGGAAGCCGAGCAGGUCCAAACCGAGGGUUCGCAGUUCUGCCGACGCUUAGGGAAUGAAACCUGUGACAUCCACCAGGACACAGGGACAUGAUGUGCCCUGGGCCCGUGCACGCAGUUCACAAGAACUGGCCUUCGCCAUGUGGAAGUGGGACAGCAGAGCGGCCGAGCCCUCCUCCUCUGACUUCAAGGCACAGCAGCGUUUCUUCCCCAGUUCCUAGCAGUCUUGUGCCUGAUGGUGCCUUUCCUUCUCUCCCAGAUGGAGGAGGUGUCUGUAUCCCUGGGUUCCCAGGGCCUGCCUCCUGAGAAGCAGAGUCACCUCUGUAGGUUGAGGCAGGAGAAUGAGGGUGAUCACUCUAACGCUGCCCCAGAGCUGCUGCAGGCCAUUGAGAAGUCUGAGCCCCCAUGCGAGUAAAUCACCCCUGUGAAUGACAGGAGAUGCCACUUACGCUCUGUGCUAGGGGCCCCGGCCCUCUGCUCCAUGGCUCACAGCAUUGCACCACUGGCUCUCAGAUCUGCGGGAUUUAGUUCAAGGGUCCACAGAAGGCCCCAGAAUCUGUGAACACCCAAGACCCUCACAUUAAGUUGUGAGCAUUUUCACACCACCUACACAUACCCUCUAGGAUGCUUUUAAUCAGCUCGACCACUGUGCAAAUGCCAGGUGGUUGUCACUGUGUGCUGCUUAGGGAAUAAUGACAGGGAAAAUACAGUUGUUACUACAGGUGCAAUUCUAUUUUCAAAUAUUUCCAUCUGUGGCUGGUUGUAUUUGUGCAUGCAGAAUCCUUGGCUAGUGAGGGGUUGGCUGUUUUUAUUUCCAUUUCUGUGCCUCACAGCACAAUGGCAUCUAGAGGACAGGGGUUUGCUGUGACCAGGGGUGGCUGGGAUGCAGCCGACUCUUUCCCUAUCCUAAGCGAAGGAGGCAAAGGGUGUCCCUGAGAUGGGAACAAGGCUGGAGCUGGGACAGGAGGGGGGCAGCCCGAGCAAGCCCUGUGGCAGGGCCCCGGUGUGCUCAGGUCACAGGGUGCUGGCCUGCACGCAGGAGGCUGAAGCCCGCCUGGUAUUGGCGAGGGUCAUGGGAGCCAUGGAUGAAGGGGACUGGUGCAGAAGGCGGAGCCCUGAACCCUGAUGGUGCCCUGUGCACCUGCUGAGCAUCGGCCUCUGCAUUCAUUGCUCCUCCAGAUCUUUUGGAGCAUCUGCUCUGUGUUGGGCUCUGUGUUCAUGGAUGGGAAAGAGAGCUUCAGCCUGGCUGGGGCCACAGCACUUCGGGGCGCAUUGGUCCCCGGGAUGGGAGUGGAGGUGGCUGGAAGUGUGAGUGAGACAUGAGGGGCAUGGCCAGAGCAACAGGCAGAGGUGGCAUUGGGUCACCCAGGGUGUCUGAGCCCCUACAAGGCCUGCUGGCUUGUCACUGGGUUCUGUGGGCAUCUGUGAACCACCACUCUGCAGCUCUGCAUGAGAGCAGAGCCGGAGAGGUAGACAGGGACAAUCAGGCACUGCAGGUGCCCUUUCCUGGGCAGAGGUUUGGGUAGGGCUGGAGGGCAGGGCUGGGAUUGGAGCCUGGGGAGGUUGCUUCCAUAUGAGAAAAUGUCAGGGAGACCCAGACAGUGAAUUUCAACUGGAUCUGGAUACCCGGGUCAAGUCUAGGUGACAGACCUGACCAGGGAAGGGAGUGUGCAAAUUUAGGGUCCACCCCUGGACCUUUGAUUGCCUAAGAGCUGAGUGAUCGGUAAAAGCCUUUGGGAGCCUCUUGUCAUGCGGUAGCUAUAAUCUCCUCCCUCUAAUCCUAGCACUGAAAUUGAGAGGCAGGACAACAGCAGAGCUCACAGGGACAAAGCUGUUUCUUAGGAGCGGAGCAGUAGGCGGGCCCUGUUGCCAGCUCUCCUUGAGGUCUGGUUUUGACAUAGCUGAUGACUUGUCGCCAUGACAGUGCUCCUCAUUGUGGAAGGAAAACAGGAAAUAGGUGGACCCCUUGGAGCAAGUGCGGAGCAGAGCUGCUUCCUGCCCUUCAGCCUGGCGUGGACUGUGAAAGACUGAAAAUCCACCAGGCUUUCGCUGAACCCAGCACUGUCACCUUUUCAAAUCUCACCAUCAUGGUUAACUUUCCCAUGUGAACAACUACCAAGUCACUAUCACCAUCUGCGCUGCAAUCAAUGUCACCAGCACCAGCCACUGUCAACCACACCCUCAAUGGCCCCCAGGUCACAAGCAGCAGGGGAGCAGGGUGAAGUCCCCCCCAUUUGGAUGACUCUGGGCAUCUUUCUCAGCUUCCAUGGGUGCAGCAGACAUAUGUGCCCAGAGCAGGUGAGAGGGGCGGAAAUCAGUGUUGUUUCCCCCACUCCCCUGGAAAUGCUCUUAUCAUGGUCAUCAAUGACCUCUGUAAUUGUCAUGUGAUAUUUGCCUCCAGGAGCCUUUGAUGACCUGACUGCUUCCUCCCCAGGCUCUGUGAUACUCAGUUUUUGAGUUUCCUUUCAACUCUGACCCGCCCUCCUUUGCUGGCUCUGUUUCUGCUACCGGACCUCUGUAUCUUCGAGUCUUCCAGAGCUUGGACGCAGCCUCUUCUUUCUCCAUCCAGGCUCCCUAACUGCUUUCUCCAUAGGCCACACAUCUAUCCUGCCUCCCUGCUGUGCUAUACUAAUCUUGAGCCACAAGUGCAGUUAGGAAGCGACCUUGGGGCAUGCUGGGAAUCCCCUGAGGAAACAGAGAUCCUUCUGUGAUGAAAAGCAAUCUUUUGAAGCCAUCCUGGGUAGUUUCUUGCAGGAAGUUUGGGGUUUCCAUCCCUUCUAUUGGGUCUAUACUGACUCAGAUGGCCAAAGCCCUCAAGUUCUUUGCACCCCCAAACAUGUCCUCCCUGAGACAUCAGUGACACGGUCCCCAUCGCCUUGGCUUCAGGUAGCAGAGACCUAAGCCGAGUGCUGGAGAGAGGACUCCAGCUAGUGGCUGUGGACAUUUGUAGGAUGCUUUCCUGGAAACCCCAAAAUAGUGUCCCUUUGGGGGUUACUGUUCCCAUACGCAUGCUGGAGGCCCGUUCUGACAGAUGGUCCCCGUUGGGCUGUUCUCACAUGCACAAGCAGAGGAAUUCAUUUGGGUCCUCUUGGCCUCAGGAGCAUUUGGAAUCAGAUGCCAGAAGAAACAGAUUGCUUCCCCUUAUUCUGGGGGUGUGGGUGGAUGGUUUGAGAGGAGACUCUUCCAAGAAUGUGUUUUCCCUUCCACACUCAGGAUGCGAUCCUGUCUGCUCUUUUGGGGCUGGCAGAAGCCUGAGUUGCUUUGGGGGUAGCGUCUGUACUGCCUCGGCCCCUGCUGCUCAGAAGCGGGGGCGGGGGUGGGUGAGUAACUUUUGGCAGGGUCCUUUGCGCCCUGUGCAUCAGGUUACCCAAAUGGUACUACCACCACCUGGUCCCCACUGCCAGAUUAAUGUUCCUAAAAUAGCUCAGUGCGACAGGGCCAUUCCCUUGCUCAAGAACCAUCCAGCAUUUUCUGCUGCCCACAGGACAGUCUUGGGCUUCGCCCUCACACUCCAGAUCCCUACCAUCUGGCCUCCCUUGGCUUUGCCAACCACAUCCCUCUCCUUCUCUACACAAGGGCACCCUCCUUUCGCAGGGUGUGCCAGGACCUUGGCCGAAACCACAUCACGCCCCUGGUUCGGUGCCCUCUCUCCCGCCUCGCAGCCUGUCUACACCACUGCCCUUCUUCUGCUGGCCUGACCUUGCAAGGCUGUCCACCUUCUGCUUUGAUUCCUCCGUUCAUUCUCCUCCUGGCCCUGUGUGAUCACUGAGAGGUCCCCUGGCAACUUCUCCUCUGCAGGAGGCUUUAGGGACGGAGAGGCUACUUGCUAGGGUGUGCUCAGGGAGUGGGAGCACUUCCAGGGUUCAGUGAGGACCCAGUGCUGGGCAUGGUGGAGCUAUCCCCUCCCCCAGCCCUGUAGAAGCAUAGACAGUAGCUUCUAAGGGACCCCGAGAAGACCGUGGCAGGGGAAGCCAAAGGAUACGGCCUUCCAGGAAAAGCUAUGAUCGGCUGGGGGAGCCGUUCAGGAGGAGGACCUGCCUCACGCUUUCUCCUCCCCUUCCCUGCUCAGUCCUGGCACUGAUCAAGUCCACUUGGAAGCCAGAGAGAAGGGUGGGAGACUCUUAGUAUCUGUGAAGAAUCUGAAGGGUAUGUAGGGCAAGGGUGGGGGAGAUUCCAUCUCCUAGCUUAGGUUUCAGUGGCCAAGUAGCGAGCGUUCCCGAUGUCACAAAUGUGGCCAUUCUCAGGAUCAAGCUGUUCAGUGUCACUUCCAGUAGGACAACGGGAGCCCAGAGCAGAUUUCUGCUGAUCCGAGACCACGCUGUGCACUGAUGUUAGAUGUGAGACAGGGCAGGUGUGAGCCCACAGCUCAGAGCCAGCCGGUCUAUUGGAACAGACUUCCUGGUAAGUUACACACCAGGAGCCUUAGCUGAGGCCUUCCUGGCUGUGCUGGCCGCAUGGUGGCCCAGGUGGCAUGCGCAUGUGUGUGCGUAGGUGUGUGUGUUGUGCAUUUUAAGGGGAAAGAUCCAGAGUAGUAUCUGAAAGCGCUUUAUCUCCAAACUCAGAAGCACAGUGGACCCUAAGCAGCCCGGGGACCCUGUAGGAACACGAGAGGAAAGCUGCCAACCACGCAGCCCUCCACUCCUUCUGCUCCUUCAUCCAGUCUCCCCCUGUAAUGGACGAUCAAGGCAGUGGUACAGGGUUACGUAUCUUCCAAACACUUGUAGUAGCUACUGUUUAUAUCCCACAGCAGACUCACAAAGAGCAAGGCAGGGGUCCCUCCCUUCAGUCUUCAGGUGAGGGAGCAGACCCGAGGGGUCCAAUAAGUGCCCAAGGACCCGCCGUGGAAAGUAAUAAAGGCAAACUGUAGACUCAACUCCGAAGACCAUGCCGCUCGCCUUUUGUGGUACUGGGAAUUGAACCCAGGGCUUUGUACUGAGCUGCAUCCCCAAUUCUUUCGUAUUUUAUAUUUUGAGUCAAGGUCCUAGGCUAGUCUUGAUUGUGUGUUCCUCCUGACUCAGCCUCCCAGAGGCCUGAGAUUACAUGUAUGCACAAUCACCUGGCUCGCCAAACCCUUUCGGUUGUACCAUAUUUGGUCUCUCCUUCAGCAGAGGUUUCCAUUCUCUGAGGCUUUUCUGAUUGUUCUCUCUCCUGUCAGCUCUUCCCUUUCCUCAUGUCUGUCUUAUGCUUCUUCAUCUCCAUCUCUCCUCUCCUCUCCUUUCUUCUUUGCCUUCUCUCUGCUUGUUAGAAAAGUCAUGGCCUCUCUCUGGUUUUACCUACAGCACGUUUCCAGGGGAGUUCUUCCAGCUUCUUGGUACCCAGUGACCACAUGUAGGCAGAUGUGUCAGGCGACCAUGCAUCCACGGGACAGAAAAUAACUGAGUGGCUUUCUGCUUCUUGCCCCAACCAAGGAGCGAUUUGCAGACAGUACACAGAAAUUAUAAGCACCAGAAGUCAUUGAGCAAUCUUUCUUUGAACCAAUUAGAUUCUGACAUCUGCUUACUGUUUAAUUAUCUUCUGACUGAGGAAAUGGAAAAGUUGACAAAUAGUUUAACCCCACAAGAGUCAGGUUCCUUAUUUUUCCCCCUUCGUGAGCAUGUUUACAGAACAUCAAUGUGCCCACAUCUCCUGGUCUCUCUGGGAUAGGGGCAAAAAAAAAAAAAUAUAGACAAACAUUUAUAUUCUGCGAGCUCAAGAUGGUUUUUAUAUUUUUUUCAUGUUUAACUGAUCUCAAAUGAACGACAAUGGCUCUUAAUGUGGUUACAAGAAUUUGCCAUUAAUUUUCACUUGAAAUUGGAUCCAGCUGGUAUAUAUGCCCAGCUCGUGUUCUAGUUCUUAAUGGUUUGCCUUCCAAAACCUGGGCCACUUCCCACUGGCUGACUGGCACAGCUUAAGCGGGGGCAUUCGUCUCCUAUUACAUGUGAACAGAAAUUAAGUUGAGAAUAUCAGUCCUCUUUUGGAGCUCUUUGUAAAUGGCAUUGGAGGGUGGGGAGCUGGGUGAAGGGUGCCAGAGGAAUGCAGGCUUGGUGCCCCAGUUCUCCUCAGUGGCAAAGCUGCUAGCUCCAGCUCCAUGCAGGAGCUGUGACUGAGCUGCCAGAGGACAUGGAAGUGUGACUCAAGGUCUCAGAGCAGUCAGAAAGCUUUCUGGUGUCUUCUAGCUUGGUUUUCGAGUGCAUCUGGAUGAUCCUGGAAGUUCUUUGUGAGUUUCUAGCCAGCCUCAAACAUUGAUGUGGAUAGAAGAAAAGGGACACAACAUGAAGGGAAAAGUUGACUCAGAGAGCGAGAAUUCUCCACCUUUGGAGCAUCAUUGAAUCUUGGUGAUCUCAGUUUCUGUUCAACCCAUGUAACCAUAUAAUUUAUUGAACACUUACAUGGGAAGUAAAUAUUAAACUAGAUGGAAUGUUGAGAAAAACCAGGGACAAAGUCAGCCUAGGAAUAAAGAAAAUAGGGGUAUUAGACCUCGUGGGCAGGAGUAAAUGGUAAGUAGGUUCCACGUCCCUAUGGAUGCUAGGAAUGCUACAACUUCCUUGUGAUGGAGGAAGAAAAUGUAGCUGCUUCCCAAGUACAAUAAGAGUGCUCCUUGAUUGAUUAGCAAUGUCUGCCCUGGUCACAGGGAGGGACUGCUAUAUUCAAGGCAAGAAUUUACCAUUCCUGGAUUGGAUGGCCUUUCAGUUCUAUUUUUGUAAUAAGAAAUAAGUGAACGAGGCUCACUUACCCUGGCAGUGUCUCUCACUUGGAGUGGGUACAACGUGCAGACUCUGAAUUAGUGGAUCCAGGGCUCCCAGGUGAGGUAGACUUUGAACAGCAAAGACUAGAGGCAGCACUUGAACUCGAGCCAGCGUCCCUCCACUGCAGGCUUAGCAGCCUGCAGGAGGGUCUACGUGCUCCUUUCCAAGGAUUUUUCCACAGGUCAAUUAAUUUAUUCCUCCAGACAGCCUUUGAUGUUGGCUGGAUCACUUCCUACCCCACCCCAUCCCCUUCUAAAUGUGUUUUGCAUGUGCAGCGGGCUUCUAUGCCCAGCCUACAAUCUGUAAUGACAGAGCUGAGGCUCACAUCUGAGGCUUUUUCCAGUGCUGGGCUGGGCCCUUGAGCGCCUGACUUACCAGCCUCAUCAGAGACCAGAAGUUACAGGUGUCUUUGGCUGCCAUGGGGCAGCCAGGCGAAGGGGUUGCAUGGAGGGAGCACGUCAUCCCUGGUCUCACCUUUCCACGUGGUCAUUAAGGCAGGUACCAACCAGCUCCUGGCCCUGGAUUCAUGGGGCUGAGCCUUCCUUGACUCUAUGAAAGUUGUAAAGCCAGGGUGACCUGGGUUGGAUUAUCACAUUACUCAGCCUUGAGCACACAACUCACCUUCCAGAGUCCCUGCACCUGUUAAAAAGGGGACGCUAAACAUUCUUCCCAUAGAGGCUGGCUAGAAGCUGAAAAUAAACACCGGAGUGAAAUGAGCGACAUAUUUAAUUUCCUCCUUCGCCUUCUAAGGAAGGGAAUGAGUUAGCUGUUGCUCUCUUUCCGCACAUGUAAGCAUCUAGAAUCUCCUUGAUUCGACAGCAUCCUCACAGAACUGGAUUCAGGGUUUAGUGGGGUGCCUUCCCUGUAGACAAUAAAAUAGGCAAGUGUAUCCAUUACUGGAGAGCAUUCUUGCCUGAUAUAACAGACAACUCAUUGAACAAACUUCAAAACUUAUUCUGCAAAACAUGUCGGUGCCAGGCACUAAGCAGGCAACACAGAUAUGCUUGAAAAUUAGAAGUGAACUUCAAAUGUCUCUGCUGUGACUUGGCGUUAGUGAAAUCAUCGCCAGGGAAGUAGCAGCGGCUCCGACAGCCCCCUCCCUGGAAAUGCCAGCCAAGCGCCCACGUUCUCUUGGCUAAGAAGACAGCAGAGGUCAACAUGCUGUCCCAGGAGCUGCCAGAGAAUAGCCCUGAUCUCAGCACACAGAGCUCUGCCAGCGUGCCACGCUCCGUUCAAAUGGCAUCUGGUGCAAGCGAUGUAUUAGCAGCAUAUUUUUUCUAAAAUAGAGAAAAAUCUGAAUUAUGCAGGGAGAAAAUUGACAAGUACGGCUCUCCUGUGCUAUGUGUAUGCUUACAUACUGUGUAAUAUGUCCUCGAGUUUGCUUAGCCAAUAAGGGUCUAAGAGGUGGGAUUUGAAUGUCCCUGUCUGACAGGCAGAAGCGGUUGGUACUGCGGAGGUCACUUGACCCUAAGCCAAUGGACUUGAAUAUUAAUGGGAUUUUCCUCAUGUGGUUGCCAUGGAAGCUGAAGUGGAGUUAUAGUCAAGUGUAGCUUGUAUUUAUUUAGACUUAAAAAACAAAGUUUAUUUCAAAUGAUUACUCAAAAAAUUAUGUUACCUGAAACAUUGAACAGAUUUCAUGUAAGCUCCUCCAGGCACAUAACUCAAACUGUCAAACGAAAAUAGCUCUGUGGGCUUAACUGCUUUUAAUAAUGAAACUAUAAAGAGGAGCUAUGUUGGUGCCCCCCCAAUAAUUUGGGAGCCACUUAGGCCUGGAAAUAGUUAAUAUUCAGAAAAAAAGCAUGAAACACUAAGAUUGGCCCCAGCUUCCCACCUACCCAAGCCAGCUGCUCACGUCCCCUUCUCUGCCCCUUCUCUCCUAGGCCUCUCCUCUCCUCCUCUUCUGUUUCUCUUGGCCCCUCUGACUGUAUCAGUCCUUCUCCUUCUCCCGGAAGAUGCAGCCUAGACCUGCAUCUGUUGGGGGUCUGGUAGGAAACAGGGCUGGCAUCCCAGGUCAUGAUCUGCUGUUUUGAAGAAAUCCUUUCCUGUGUCUUCCAACACUGCUCGUCUCAUUUGCUUCCGACCAAACUGUGCCCGAAGGAAGUCCGAGGAGAAAUGCACUGCUUUGACUUGAAUGCAUCCUCUAGAACCAGCCCCAAAUCCGUGUGUGGAUGGUGCUUGGAAGUGAUAGAGUUGGAUGAGGUCAUGAAGGCUCAGACUGACUUUAAAGGGAGCCGCAGGUGGCAUGCACCACCCUGGGGAGCUCACAGCGCGUGACCAUCCACGAUGUCAUCCGUCCUUGAACAGCGUGGAGAGGCCCGGGGAGCCCAGCACUGUGAUCUCCCCUCCUCCGGACCUAGGCUCCAGCGCUGAACUUCACCGUGCGCAGUAGUCGUGCCCACCUGCGGGGUGUGGUGUGGUGACCAGCUGCGUGUCUAGCGCACGUGAUGAUCAUGACAGAGGGUGAGCUUUUCUCCCUCUUUCACUGUUGAUGACUUCUUGUGUCCCUUAGUUCUGUAUAAAAUAUGAUAAUAAAUCAUAUGAGCUGCUGCCAGCCCACGGUGCCCGUGUCACCUUCCUAAUUCUCCCAAGAGCUUGGCUCUUUCUUGCUGGAGUACAUGGGAUAAACAUCUGAGAACCUCAGAACCAAAAUGCCUUGGCAGGCGAAUUUUCUAGGGUUCAAGAGAGAAGCAGCAGCCUUUCCAGGGUCCAUUCCUGCUUGCUUCCACGGAGGCAAAGCCACGGCUCUGGUCCCCUCUUUCGGGAGCCUCUUGGACAAGGUGUGUUGCCACGAGUGCGCUCUCCAUGUGGCCUGACCCCUCUUGUGUGCUGUAUGCAUCACAGCCAGAGUCCAAAGUGGUGAUGGCAGCAGUUGUCAUGGAAAUGUAUCUGCCUUCCUCAGAAGUGACCGUGCAGAUGCCAUUCUUGAAGAAAAAUGACUUUCUGCUCUCUCUCUCUCUCUCCACACACACCUCAAAAAUCUUAAGAAUAAAUGAUAU
Molecule: long non-coding RNA, 15496 nt
Organism: Cavia porcellus (domestic guinea pig)
Lineage: Eukaryota; Metazoa; Chordata; Mammalia; Rodentia; Caviidae
Exons: 7
Source: RefSeq, a predicted model, not a curated record